Molecule: ribosomal RNA, 229 nt
Filed under: uncultured bacterium
Lineage: Bacteria
Description: partial 16S ribosomal RNA
Rfam family: Bacterial small subunit ribosomal RNA
Source: RNAcentral
UGCGCAGGCGGAGCGAUCAGUCAGUGGUGAAAUCCUACGGCUCAACCGUAGAACUGCCAUUGAUACUGUCGUUCUUGAGUAUAGUUGAAGUGGGCGGAAUGUGUCAUGUAGCGGUGAAAUGCAUAGAUAUGACACAGAACACCAAUCGCGAAGGCAGCUCACUAAACUACUACUGACGCAAAGGCAAGAAAGCGUGGGGAGCGAACAGGAUUAGAUACCCUGGUAGUCC